AGCGAACGCUGGCGGCAUGCCUUACACAUGCAAGUCGAACGGCAGCACGGGAGCAGUCCUGGUGGCGAGUGGCGAACGGGUGAGUAAUAUAUCGGAACGUGCCCAGUCGUGGGGGAUAACGUAGCGAAAGCUACGCUAAUACCGCAUACGAUCCAUGGAUGAAAGCGGGGGAUCGCAAGACCUCGCGCGAUUGGAGCGGCCGAUAUCAGAUUAGCUAGUUGGUGGGGUAAAAGCCCACCAAGGCGACGGUCUGUAGCUGGUCUGAGAGGACGACCAGCCACACUGGAACUGGGACACGGUCCAGACUCCUACGGGAGGCAGCAGUGGGGAAUUUUGGACAAUGGGCGAAAGCCUGAUCCAGCAAUGCCGCGUGCAGGACGAAGGCCUUCGGGUUGUAAACUGCUUUUGUACGGAGCGAAACGGUCCUCUCUAAUACAGGGGGCUAAUGACGGUACCGUAAGAAUAAGCACCGGCUAACUACGUGCCAGCCGCCGCAGUAA
RNAcentral lists this ribosomal RNA (500 nucleotides) under uncultured bacterium. Its description in RNAcentral is "partial 16S ribosomal RNA". It matches the Rfam family "Bacterial small subunit ribosomal RNA", at positions 29 to 523 of the family's 1533-position model. The record is from RNAcentral.